Long non-coding RNA from Daphnia carinata, 1082 nucleotides. RefSeq lists it as uncharacterized. The transcript has 11 exons. Lineage: Eukaryota; Metazoa; Arthropoda; Branchiopoda; Diplostraca; Daphniidae. The record is from RefSeq and is a predicted model, not a curated record.
GGAUCGCCAUAGGAACCACCAGGAAUUGUUAAGAGGGUGUCACCACCAUCGCCAUCCCAAAAUUGCAAGGAGGGCUGGCAAUACCACCGAGGUUGAUUACUGGACGUCGGGGAUCGCCGCCGAAGUCGCCAAGUAUUGCCAGAUCACCACCGAGGAGGGCCACUAGACAACGAGGUUCGCUGUCGGAACCACCAGGAAUCGUCGCCCAAAAUUGUCAAGAGGGCCUCACCACCAUCGAAGAGGAUGCUGGACAUCGAGGAUCGCCGCUGGAGUAACAAGAUCGUCAUAAUGGAUGCUUCAGGUAUAUGAUUUAUACGUCUACGUGUUUAACCGUGUUUUAUUUUGUGUAUUUAGGAUGGCCAACAUCACCACCGAAGAGGGCAACUGGACAACGAAAAUUGCCGUCCGAGGCAUCAGGAUCGUCGUCUAAAAUUGUCAAGAGGACGCCAUCAUCGCCAAAGAGGGACCACUGGACAACGUGGUUCGCCGUGGGAUCCACCAGGAUUAUCGUCCAAAAUUAUCAAGAGGGCAGGACCACCAUCGAAGAGGAUGCUGGGCAUCGAGGAUCGCCGCUGUAGCAACGAGAUUGUCGGCAUAGAGGGCCCCACCAUCACCGAAGAGGGCGCUGGAGUACCGAUAUCGUCGCCGUGGAUGUUUCAGGUAUAUCGUUUACUCGUUUAAUUGUCGAUUCAUAUUUUUUUCAUGUAUUUAGGAGGGCUUCAUCUUCGCUGAAGAGGAUUACUAGACAACGAGGUUCAACGUCGGAGCUACUAGGAUUGUCGCCCAAUAUUGUCAAACGGGCGCAAUCUCGCCGAAGACGAUCACUGGCCAACGUGGUUGGCCGUAGAAGUCACCAGUAUCGUCGGCCAAAAUCGUCAAGUGGGCUGCACCACUAUCGAAGAGGAUGCCGGACAUUGAGGGUCGUCGCUGGAGGAACGACAUUGUCCGCAAUGGAGGUUUUAGAAGGGUUCCGUCGUCGCCGAAGAGGACUACUGGAUGUCGUGGAUCGUCGUUGGAGCAACGGGAAUCGCCGCCCAUCCCCGAGAUACACGCCCAUUAGGUCGAUGGAGGAAAAAAGAUGG